Molecule: long non-coding RNA, 29069 nt
Filed under: Capsicum annuum
Lineage: Eukaryota; Viridiplantae; Streptophyta; Magnoliopsida; Solanales; Solanaceae
Description: long non-coding RNA (CANN_LNC018310)
Source: RNAcentral
CUCCUUCACCGUCUCCUCCUCCACCUUAUUACUACAAGUCUCCACCUCCUCCAUCUCCAUCACCACCCCCACCUUAUUAUUACAAGUCUCCACCACCACCGGUUAAGUCACCUCCUCCCCCAUACUAUUACAGCUCUCCACCACCUCCAGUGAAGUCUCCCCCUCCACCAUACUACUACUCCUCGCCGCCACCACCAAAGAAAUCACCUCCCCCACCAUAUCACUACACUUCUCAACCACCACCUAAGAAAUCACCUCCUCCAUCAUAUUACUACAAUUCCCCACCACCACCAGUGAAGUCACCUCCAGCUCCAUACUACUACAAGUCUCCACCUCCCCCAACCCCGACAUAUGUUUAUAAGUCACCACCUCCUCCAUCACCAAAGUAUGUGUACAAGUCGCCACCUCCCCCAACCCCAACAUAAGUUUAUGAGUCACCACCUCCUACAUCACCAAAGUAUGUGUACAAGUCGCCACCUCCCCCAUCCCCAACAUAUGUGAACAAGUCAUGCACCUCCUCUAUCACCAAAGUAUGUGUACAAGUCGCCACCUCCCCCAACCCCGACAUACGUUUAUAAGUCUCCACCACCACCUGAUUACUAUUACAAAUCUCCACCACCACCAACUAAGUCUCGACCGUCUCAUUAUUAUUACAAGUCUCUACCUCCACCAUCACCAAAACCUGCACCAGUAUAUUAUUAUAAAUCACCACCACCCCGUCACCAUCGCCUCCACCACCUUACUAUUAUAAAUCUCCGCCACCACCAACUAAGUCUCCCCCACCUCCUUAUUACUACAAGUCUCCACCUCCACCAUCACCAAAACCUGUACCAGUAUACUAUUACAAGUCUCCGCCACCACCAUCGCCGUCUCCUCCUCCACCAUACUAUUACAAGUCCCCACCACCACCAUCUCCAUCACCUCCACCAUCCCCAUCACCACCUCCACCCUACUACUACAAGUCGCCUCCUCCACCGUCACCUUCUCCACCACCUCCCUACUACUACAAGUCACCUCCUCCACCAUCUCCUUCUCCUCCACCUCCACCGGUAAAGUCUCCUCCUCCACCUGUGAAAUCACCUCCUCCACCAGUAUACAUUUAUGCUUCCCCACCACCACCAACUCACUACUAAGUAUUUCUAGGAGCUCAACCAUUCACCCGAAUCAAUCAAAUUUCCAUUUGAAGCACAAAAUAAUGGACCAGUUUGCUUCAACUUCUCUUUUGGCCGUCUUGCUCAUUGUUCUCAUUUCUUGUUAUCAGUGAAAUGACUUCAAUAACUUAGCUCACAAAAAGUUAUUAGUUAUUUCCUAAUCUUUGAGAAAUUAGAGUUGGUUUCUUGAUAAUCAAUUAUUUGUAUCGAGGAUGUCCUCAAUGUAUUCAUUAAUUUCCUAUUAGUUAUUGUAUGUUGCUUCCUUUUACCUUGUACUUCGUGAACAAAUCAAUAAGAAUUUUGUUGUUAGGAGUUAAGUCAAUUAGUUCAAUUAAUUAUCAAUCAGAUGUCUUGCCCAGAUAUGGCUUUCCGUAGAAUUCUAUAUGUAUCUAUCGAGUAUGGUAUUUUGUUUACUCACUAUAAGUUGAGUAUCCGUUUCCCUCCCUUUCCUACUAGGAUUGAAAAUCCUAUAUUUUACAUGUCCAUAUAAUUGAGUCGUUGAGUCCCCGAAAUAGUAUAAAAGAAGUGCUUCAAAUCAUGGAUAUUUGACUCGGACCAGUUCUAAAAAAGUCGAGGUAUUCCAAAUUGUUUUUUGACACGAACAAAGUCAGGAAAAACUAAUCUUGAAUUUCAAAAUAUGAAAAGUGAGUUAAAGCAAGUGGACAUAUUAUCAAUAAUGUCUUUGAUAUUUAGUAUUAGAGGAACAAAAAUAUUUGGGAGAUAUACAUGAAAAAAUUUUAGACGGAAUAACAAAAUUUCUCACUAUUUAUUGAAUGUAAAUGAAUAAAUUUGCCUCUUAAUCCCUUAAAUAUAGUUGAUUAAUCAAUCUUGAAAAUGUUAGCAAAUUAUGAAAUCACAUGAUGUUGAUUCAACAUUCUCCUCACGAUUUUAUCAACUAGACCAUGCACGUAGUUACCUCACUAUAGGACUUCCAAAAGCCAUCUCUAAAUCUCACAAACAAUUAACAGACAAUUACAUUAUUCUCUUAUUUAACAAUCUACUAAUUAAAAAAUUACUUAAUUCUGAUACUGUAUUAACUGGCCAUUGAGGUAAUGAGGUCUUCUUUCAAUGCCAGGAAUAAUUGAACCAUAGAAUAAAUAAUUGAUUUGUUUCUCUUUCGUUUAUUUUUUAUAUCAUGUUUUAAGUUGACUUGUACAUAAUAGUAAGACUUUUGAUCUUAAAUAUGCCAUGACAUUUUUAUUGCUACAAAAGCAUAUCAUCCAAUAAUGAAAUGAAAAUUCAAAGUCAAUUUUUUUUGAAUAUAAAAAUGUGUCAUUUAUUGAGCAAACUAAUAAAGAACGAAUAUCAUAUAGAAUAAAGCAAAGAAAGUAGUAAAAGGCAGUAGUUCUUUAUCGAGUAUGUACAAAGACAAUUUAUAUCAAUAUAUACAGGUAAAAUCUUACCUACAUCCGAUGUUUACACUAAGCUAAUACAUGCAUGCCAUGCGUUUGAAUUUAAAGUUCAUUUUCCUUACCCACAAUUAAUUAGCAUGUGGUUUACUUCAUUAAAUUACUUAACCAUGAUAAAUUGCAUUAGUUUAAUGUAAACACCGGAUGAAUUUUCACACAUUACAGAGAGUUAUGAGGGUUUUUAAUCUUUGCAUGAGACGACAUGUGCAAGGAAACAAAAAUAUAAUGGAAAGGUAGUGGAAAUAUUGAAAGUUAGCAAUCAUUUUCCCUUACACAAUUUUGUGGCAUGUGUGUCGCUUUGUAGCAGGAAAUUGUUACUACAACUUGUUAUAUAGAUAUUGUGGAAAUAUUCUAAGUGAUCAAGAAAUGGAUGUUAAUAAACAAGAUAAAUAUUAGUAAAUCCAGUUGUUAUAUUUUAGUCUAUGAUUAUCAAUUGGAACAAUUGAAUUGGUCACUUAGACAGCUCUAUACCAAAGACGACUUAUAUUAUUCUCAUAUUUAAUAGAGCAAUCGAACUAAUCAGAAAGUGCUUCUGACAUGGGAUUUGUUCAUGAGUACAAGGUAUAAGGAAGCAACAUACAAAAACUAAUAGGAAAUGAAUAAAAUGAGGACAUCCUCAAUACAAAUAAUUAAUUAUCAAGAAACCAACUCUAUGAAGCAUCAAAGCUCAUAUACAUUCAAGCACCCAUAACUAAUAACUUUUUGUGAGCUAAGUUAUUGAAGUCAUUUCCCUGAUAACAAGAAAUGAGAACAAUGAGCAAGACAGCCAAAGGAGAAGUUGAAGCAAACUGGUCCAUUAUUUUCUGCUUCAAAUGGAAAUUUGAUUGAUUCGGGGGAAUGGUUGAGCUCCUAGAAAUACUUAGUAGUGAGUUGGAGGUGGUGGGGAAGCAUAAAUUUAUACUGGUGGAGGAGGUGAGCUGUAGUAAUAUGGUGAAGGAGGAGACUUUACCGGUGGAGGUGGAGAGUGGUAGUAGUAAGGAGGUGGAGGAGAAGGCGAUGGUGGAGGAGGUGACAUGUAGUAGUAGGGAGGUGGUGGAGAAGGUGACGGUGGAGGAGGUGACUUGUAGUAGUAGGGUGGAGGUGGUGAUGGGGAUGGUGGAAGAGGAGACUUGUAGUAGUAGGGUGGUGGAGGAGAUGGCGAUGGAGGUGGUGGUGACUUGUAGUAGUAUGGUGGAGGGGGAGAAGGCGAUGGAGGAGGAGGAGACUUGUAGUAGUAGGGUGGUGGAGGUGAUGGUGAUGGUGGUGGUGGUGACUUGUAGUUGUAGGGUGGUGGAGGUGAUGGAGAUGGUGGUGGUGGAGACUUGUAAUAGUAUGGUGGAGGGGGAGAUGGCGAUGGUGGCGGUGGAGAUUUGUAAUAGUAUACAGGUGCAGGUUUUGGUGAUGGUGGAGGUGGAGACUUGUAGUAAUAAGUAGGUGGGGGAGACUUAGUUGGUGGUGGCGGAGAUUUAUAAUAGUAAGGUGGUGGAGGCGAUGGUGACGGGGGUGGUGGUGAUUUAUAAUAGUAUACUGGUGCAGGUUUUGGUGAUGGUGGGGGUGGAGACUUGUAAUAAUAAUGAGUUGGUGGAGACUUAGUUGGUGAUGGUGGAGACUUAUAAAUAUAUGUCGGGGUUGGGGGAGGUGGCGAUUUGUACACAUACUUCGGUGAUUGAGGAGGUGGUGACUUAUAAACAUAUGUUGGGGUUGAGGGAGGUGGCGACUUGUACACAUACUUCGGUGAUGGAGGAGGAGGAGAUUUAUAAUAGUAUGGAGCGGGCGUAGGCUUGGGCUUUUGGCAUUCUGCAUAAGGUGUAUUAGAUCCAUAAGCAAAUGGUUUUGCAUAGAGAACAACUUCAUAACUAUUCUUCGAUUUCACUUUAAGGUUAGCACCCCUAAUUCCCCAAUGAAGGUUUGUAGGAAUGCUACACUUUGAAUCCUUUGGAGCAUUAUGGAGUUUAGCCUUGCAAGCCUUUGCUCCAUAUUUGCGAUAUUCAAAUCCUUCAACCGCGAUGCUAAAUUUGCCAUUGAUCUUUGUGGUACCAUAACUCACAAUUUUCUUGUCACCAGCCUUGCAAGUGACUUCAACAACAGCACCUAAACCAGGAGAAAAUAGAAAUAAUACAUUAAUUAACACCAAAACAAAGAUCUGCUAACAUAUGAUCAUUUAGAUAUUUCCCUUGAAAGAACUAUCUCUGCCCUAUAUUCAUUACAUAAAAUAGUAAAACCUUUUGUCCUAACUUCAUUAUAGUAAAUUUUUAUCCAAAUGAAAACUUAUUUUUCACAGAAUAAAUACUUCUUUCAAGCAAGAACUAACAACUUUCGUUUUCAAUAUCUUUUACUCAAUUGUCACAAUAAUGACUAUAGUUAUUGCCUUAAAAAAAAAAUUUGACGUUUCAAAAUCUUAAUUUUAACUAUACAUGCUGACGACAACAAAAGACGAUCGAAGAUCCAAAUAAAAAGAGACACAUUUAUGAAUUAUGAUAAAAGCAUACGAAAAGCAGCAAAAAGGAGAAUGUAUAACUGGAUAAUUUGUUUUAUGAAAAAUUAAGAGAAAAAAAAGAAGUGUGCAUGGUAUAAAGACUGUGGUACCUUUCAGAUGUUUCUUGCCGUGCGACAUCUCUGGAUUCUUCCAAUUAUAGCAUCUGAAACAAUAUACUUUUCCGACAACUUUGACCACGAAUUGAUGAUGUGGAGGAUAGUAAUGAGUUGGUGGUGGGGGUGAAGUGUAGUAGUAUGGUGGGGAAGAAGACUUCUUUGGUGGUGGUGGAGACUUGUAGUAGUAUGAAGUUGGAGGCGACUUCACUGGUGGUGGUGGGGAACUGUAGUAAUAUGGCGGAGGAGGUGAUUUCUUGGGUGGUGGUGGGGAGCUGUAAUAAUAUGGAGGAGUUGGUGACUUAACAGGUGGUGGUGGAGAAGUGUAGUGAUAUGGUGGGGGAGGUGAUUUCUUGGGUGGUGGUGGAGAGUUAUAAUAGUAUGGAGGAGGCAGUGACUUAACAGGUGGUGAUGGAGAAGUGUAGUGAUAUGGUGAGGGAGGUGAUUUCUUGAGUGGUGGUGGAGAGUUGUAGUAGUAUGGAGGUGGCGGUGACUUAACAGGUGGUGGUGGCGAGGAGUAGUAGUAUGGUGGAGGGGGAGACUUUAUUGGUGGUGGUGGAGAGCUAUAGUAGUAUGGGGGAGGAGGUGAUUUAGUAGGUGGUGGUGGAGACUUGUAAUAGUAGGGUGGGGGUGGUGAUGGGGAUGGUGGAGGAGGAGACUUGUAGUAAUAAGGUGGGGGAGGAGACGGUGAAGGGGGUGGUGGAGAUUUGUAGUAGUAUGGUGGUGGUGGUGAAGGAGAAGGUGGCGGUGGAGAUUUAUAGUAGUAUGGUGGUGGUGGUGAUGGUGAAGGAGGAGGUGGAGAUUUGUAGUAAUAUGGAGGUGGUGGUGAGGGUGAGGGUGGAGGAGGAGACUUGUAGUAAUAUGGUGGAGGUGGAGACGGUGACGGAGGAGGUGGAGACUUAUACACAUAAGGUGGUGGUGGAGAUGGCGAUGGAGGUGGUGGAGACUUAUACACAUAUGGAGGAGGUGGAGGUGGAGAUGGAGACAGAGGAGGAGGUGACUUAUAAACAUAAGGUGAUGGGGGAGAUGGCGAGGGAGGAGGUGGAGAUUUGUACACAUAGGGUGGUGGUGGAGAUGGCGAAGGAGGAGGUGGUGACUUGUACUCAUAAAUUGGAGGUGGUGGAGAAGAGUACACAUAAGGGUCUGCUGACAUUACAUUAGCAACAGCUAAUAUGGCCAAUGCCACUAUGAUUUGUGGCAAAUAUUGACGACCCUUGGCAGGGCCGGCCCCGUGAAGCCUCAUUUUUUCGGAAAGUUACACCUUUAGUUUUUCAGUUGAGAAGUGAUGCUUUUAGAGGAUUCAUUAGCCUAUGUAUUUAUAGUAACACUCCUUGAGUAAUAGUUGUUAGUAAAGAGCUGUCUAAAGGACCAAUUCUGAUAUUACUUAUAAAAAGUCCACUUCUUGAUCACUUUUGAAUUAUGAAUAUUUUCAUUAAAUUUCUUUAUUAAGCUAUAAAGAAAAUGAGAAGAACAUAUGAAUGUGCAAAGAGCUAGGCAUAUCACUUCACAUGCCACAAAAUGGUGCUAGGAAAAAUGAUUGCUAAUUUUCAAUAUUUCCACUCUCUUACCAUUUUGGUUUCCAUGUGUUGCCUCUCAUGGACAAUGAGAUACUACAAGUAUCUACAAUAAUAUUGAAUGAUAAUCAUAUCCAUAGUUUAAAAUGUUUAGUUAGUGGUAAAAACAUCAAACUUUUAACUUUCGAUCGUCUUUAGUUGAAGCGCUUUACCCUCCUAAAGUGGGAUUUUCCGACAUGAAUCUAAAUUAUUUAGACGCUAAACUGAACAGCAUGAAUGGGAAACCAAAAAAUAAAAAUCCUUCCUAUGCAUGGUUUAAUUACUUGUUAAAAAAGCAAUUUGGUGCAUUAAGCUCUCGUUAUGCAUAGUAGUGGCGGAGUCAGAAUUUUCACUAAGGGGUUCGUAAGUGAAUAUAUAAAAACUAAUCGAAAGAGGUUCAACAUCUAAUAUAUAUAGAUAAAAGAUAAUUUUAACCAUCUAUAUAAUAGCAUAAUUUUCCACCAAAGGGGGUUCGAAUGAGCCCCCUAAACCAAGUGUAGCUCCGCCACUAAUGCGUAGGGUUCGGGAAAGAGCCGAACUACAAGGAUUUAUUAUACGCAUUCUUAUAGGCUAUUUCCACGACUUGAAUCCAACUCCCAGAUCAAAUGACAUCAACUUUUCUAGUUACUCCGAGACUCCGUUUCUAUUUAAUUACUUGUUGCCGACAAGAAAUGUUGGUCUAGAAAAUUAGAGUACAACAAUAUAUUCAUUGAAAUGUUGUAACAACUCCAUUGUACUUUGUGAUAUAUACUUAAAAAUAAGUUUGACUAAUUAUUUUAUUUUGAGAUACUUUCAUUAAUUUAAUUUCAUAAGCAUUUGUUCAUGAAUUGAGUUAUUAAAAAUUAAUUUCUUUCGUUUUCGAAUUAUACCAAUUAUAAAUUAAUACCUAAUAAGUUUAUUAAGAGUCUUUAAUUUUUUGAGACUGGGUAUGCACUACUAUUAAUUCAAAUGAAGUACAAAUCCGUACUUUAGAUAUUCCAUAAUUUCUUUAUUAGUACACAUUUGCAAAAUCAAAAUAUUUCUGUAAUUUUUGUAUGAAGAUUUAAGUUAGAUAUUAAAUUGCAUGUAUUGAAGGAGUAAAAAAUAUUUAUAUAAUUAGGUCAUUUAUUUGCUAAUUAUAGGUAAAUUUGUUGUCGAACAUUUCAUCAUAUAACUUGAAUGAUUUGACCAUUAACUUAACUCAUAUAAUCAUAGGUAUAAUUAUCUUAUAAAUGAUCUGAUUAUAUAAAUUCAAUAAGAGUAUAUAACUUAAAUUUUAGGCGUUCGUAUGUAAACAUGUUCUUUAAUUUGGCCUCACCUGACAUCUAUAUAUGACUUUCAACGUUGAAUGUCCAUAAAUUGACACUUAAACUAGUAUAAAGUCUAACAAGUAGAUACAUAUUCUACGUGACAAUUUACGUGAGACUCCAUGUAGGACGUCGCAUAGGAUAUGUCAUGUGUUACUAGUUCAUCUUUAUAAAAGUUUAAGUGUCUAUUUUUACAUAAUCAAAAUUGAAACAUAAAUGUCAUUUGAGGCCAUGUUAAAAUAUAUAUAUACACAUAUAUAUAUCCUAAACUCUAAGAGUAAAUGUAUCCAUUAAAUUUUGCCGGACACAAUUAUUUAGUACACGUGUUGAUGAAAAGAAUAGGUACCUCUGUAAAAUUAAAGGAGGUGCACAUAAAUUGACACGAAUAUCAUAAUAUAAAAAAAAAUGUUUUGUACUAUUGUACUACUCCUAUAAUGUUCUAAUUAUUUCUUCUAUAUGUCUUAAUCUUUUAUUAGUUUGAUAAUUAAUUGUAAAUUCGUAUUAUCAAAUCGUGAAAGAAUAUAGACGUGGAUUGAUCAACUUUUCAGAGUAAACAUACCCAUAAUAUAUAGUACAAUUUUUCUUGAAAAACUAUUAAUGUGUAGUCAUAUCUCUUUGCUUAAUUCGUUUUUCAUUUUGUUACUAUUAAUUAUUUUGGUUUUGACAUUUUUGUGAUACACUGAGGAAUAAUUGUCGUUGUAUUAUGCACUUUUUGUAUUUUCAUUGUACUAAUAUGUGAUCAACAGAUCACGAAUUCAAAUCUUAAAAAUAACUGCGUACAAUUAGACUCUUGUGGAGGGAUUCUUUUCCGAAUUCUGUGCAUAGCGAGAAAUUUAGUGCAUCGAGCCACUCUAUUUGUUGAUAAUGAAUUUACUAAUUUAAUUAUCUUGAUCAAGUCAUUCAAAUUAAAUUAGAUCUCAUCUUUUCAAUUUGAAGAAAAUGUCAAAAAUAUUUUAUCCAUUUUUCACACAGAAAGCUACUGACUCUAACCAAAGGUGAUAUUUGGUUGCAGUGGAUUAAACAAAUCUUCACACAAAAUUAAAUAUUGUUAAUACAAUGUUAAUUGAACAUAUAAAGGUUACAUGAUAUAAUACAAGAACUUCUUAGUGUCAGUAUUUUUAUCUUUUUUUUUUUUUUUGAAUAAUCAUGUGUCCUCGUCAACUUACGUGUACUUCAACUAAUUUCACGAGAGAUCUAUCAUCUCCCACCGCAAGAAGUACCAGAUAAUUAACUCUCCAUCAAAGCUAGAACAAAUAAUAAAUGAUAAAUUAAAUAAGUUUUUUAAAGUUUAUUUAAUCUCACAAACAAUUAUUCUCAUAUUUAAUAGUGCAAAUCUACUAAUCAGAAAGUGCUUCUGACAUGGGAUUAACUGGCUUUUGAGAUAUAAUAUUUAACUGAACCAUCUUCAACAAGUUGUAUAUAUUUUAAUUUAAUUCGAUAGGUUAUUUAUUAUUAUUAUUUUCAUAUUUUUUAUUCACAUUUACUAUAUGAUUAGCUCAAAUUAUGGCUUCUACUUCUUUUUUAUAGCGAUGUUCGGACCAGCUUUCGCGCACUUCGAUUAAUUUUAUGAAAUAUCAGUCAGCUUUCACUAGCAAUGCAUAUUAAAUAACUUUGUCCAUCAAAACUAGAACCAGUGGCAGAUUUAGGAUUUAGAGUCGUUGGUGCUCGUGAGUUUUGAACACACACAUAUUGACAUCAGAAUCUAGGGUCGUGGGUGCUUGUGAAGUUUGAAGACGCAUAUUGACAUCCAAAGCUUUAAGAUUCUACUGGAAAUCAAAGCACUCAAGUACCUUCUUGGUUUCAUGAGUUUUUUUUUUAAAGCUUAUAUCAAUUUUUAUAAAAAAAAGUUUAUAUAAUUAUACCUGAUCUGCGUCAAAUUUAACGGAUGAUAGAGCACCAAAAAUGUACAUAUAGGUCCGCCCCUUGAUUAGAACAGAUGAGAAGAAUCACCUAAUAUUCUAUCUUUAAUGGAAUUUGAACCCAAAAUCUGAUGAUUCUUAAACCACCAAGGCUUCUACAUAAUUUAAUAGUACAAAAAUUUGAUAACGACGACAGCAACACACCUAGUGAGCUCCCACAAGUGAGGUCCGAAGAGGAUAAAGUAUACGCAGACCUUACCAUCACCUUGAGGAGGUGGAGAAGUUGUUUUCGAAAGACCCUCGACUCAAUUAUAGCAAAUUAAUGUUGUUUAAAAUUUCUAGUUGGCAAUAAGUAAUUCUUUAGCCAUCAACAUAGACAACAAAACAAAUUUUCAUGUAGUUUUGCAAAAGAAAAGAAAAACAUUGUACAUUAGCUAGAUAAAAGUAAAAAAUUAAAACACAAAAUUAGUCACUAUAUAGAAAAUUUGCAUUGUUUAAUUUCCUUUUUGGAAAUCCAAUUGUGAAAACAAAUUGUGAAAUCUUCCAGAGGUCGAGGGUUCGACCUUGGGCAUGGAGAAAAUUCUGUUGGGAGCGCUACCCCCCAAAUGGAGCCCUAAUCGGCACGAAUACGGAUUAGUCGGGCUCCAAUAUGGGUACAGGACACCAGAUGGGAAACCAAAAAACAAAAAAAAGUAAAAUCUUAGUGAUCUUUUCUAUCUAAUGAAUCAAAAUCUGCUUUAACAUCAUCUAUCUUGUACGUAUCUCCGAGUAUACGAGUGUCUUCUUACUACGAAAAAGAAAUGAGAAAAUAUAUGAUUCUCAAAACUCCACCCAUUCUCUCCUCUCUUUUGUCUAAACAAUUUCAUUGACUAUAUGUAGAACAAUUCGACAUAAAUUGAUACCGACACCUCAAAAUUUGGUAAUCUCAACUUCAGUAUAUUUGAAUUCAAUACAUUUCAAACCUAUAAACUUCAAAUUUUGGAUCCGUUUAUUUCCAAAGUCAACCACACUACUAACAUAGGCCUGCUAAGAAAAUAGAAAUAACAAAGAAACAGACAAGAAGACCAAAUAAUUGUAUGAUCUCAGUGUUCAUAAAAUGCUUCCAUGUGGCAACGUGUAGAGAAUAACAAAAAAACUAUGUCAAUAGAGUAAGUGGAAAUAUUAAAAACUAUCAAUCAAUGUCUAUGCACAUUCAUAUGUUGUUUCUCAUUUUCUAUGUAGCAGGUAACAAACUACUAGUUGUCAUAAAGAUAAAAGUUGGAAAACUGGAAAUAUUCAAAGUGAUACAAAGAUGGACUUUUAAUAAAUAAGAUGUAAAACUUGUAGAUCCAGCUGUUAAGAGUUGUUUAAUAUACUUUUUACACUUUGAUUGUUAAUUAGAGCAAUUUGAAUUGGUCAUUUAGACAGCUCUUUACUAACAACUAGUGUGUUACUAUAAAUAGAUAGGCCAAUGAAUCCUCUAAAGGCAUCAGUUCUCAACUGAAAAACUAAACUUGUCUUCUUUCUUCUUCCCUUAACUAGCCACAUUUGGGAGGCUAGGUGGUGUAUUUUCCUGAAAAAUGAGGCUUCACGGUGGCGGCCCUGCCAAGGGUCGUCGACAUUUGCCACAAAUUUUAGUGGCAUUGGCCAUAUUGGCUGUUGCUAAUGUAGUGUCAGCAGACCCUUAUGUGUACUCUUCUCCACCCCCUCCAACGUAUGAGUACAAAUCACCACCACCUCCUUCGCCUUCUCCACCGCCACCUUAUGUGUACAAAUCUCCACCUCCUCCAUCACCUUCUCCUCCGCCACCAUAUGUGUACAAGUCUCCACCUCCUCCGUCACCAUCUCCACCACCACCCUAUGUGUAUAAGUCUCCCCCACCUCCAUCGCCAUCUCCACCACCACCAUAUGUGUAUAAGUCUCCCCCACCUCCAUCGCCAUCUCCACCUCCACCAUAUUACUACAAGUCUCCUCCUCCACCAUCACCUUCACCACCACCUCCAUAUUACUACAAGUCGCCACCUCCACCUUCACCAUCACCUCCACCACCAUACUAUUACAAAUCUCCACCACCGCCCUCACCAUCACCACCCCCGCCAUACUAUUAUAAGUCUCCACCACCACCUUCUCCUUCACCUCCUCCACCAUACUACUACAAAUCUCCACCACCUCCUUCACCAUCUCCUCCUCCACCUUAUUACUACAAGUCUCCACCUCCUCCAUCUCCAUCACCACCUUCACCAUACUACUACAAGUCUCCACCACCACCGCUUAAGUCACCUCCUCCCCCAUACUAUUACAGCUCUCCACCACCACCAGUGAAGUCUCCCCCUCCACCAUACUACUACUCCUCGCCACAACCACCAAAGAAAUCACCUCCCCCAUCAUAUCACUAUACUUCUCCACCACCACCUGUUAAGUCACCACCUCCUCCAUACUAUUACAGCUCCCCACCACCACCAAAGAAAUCACCUCCCCCAUCAUAUCACUAUACUUCUCCACCACCACCUGUUAAGUCACCACCUCCUCCAUACUAUUACAGCUCCCCAUCACCACCAAAGAAAUCACCUCCUCCGCCAUAUUACUACAGUUCCCCACCACCACCAGUGAAGUCACCUCCAACUCCAUACUACUACAAGUCUCCUCCACCACCACCAAAGAAAUCUUCUCCCCCACCAUACUACUACAAUUCACCACCACCACCAACUCAUUACUAUCCUCCACAUCAUCAAUUCGUGGUCAAAGUUGUCGGAAAAGUAUAUUGUUUUAGAUGUUACGACUGGAAGCACCCAGAGAUGUCUCACAGCAAGAAACACCUGAAAGGUAUCACAAUAUAAUUUAUACAACACUCGCAUUCCUUAUUUUCCUUUAAUAUAUCAUCAAAAAUAUAUUUAACUAUAUAUUUUCUUUUUUGUUGCUUUCUUCCUUACGCUCUUAAAAGAAUUCAUAAAUGUGUAUCUUUAUUUGGAUCUUUGAUCCAUUUCUGUUUUUCCAAAUGUGAAGUAACAUUAAAAUUUAAAGAGUCAAGAAAUUUUAUAAGGCAAGGACUAUAUCUAUAAUUGUGACUACAGAGUAAAACAUAUUGAAAAUGAAGGUACUCCGUUCUUUCUUGCAAAUGAAGAAUUAAUAUUGAGUGUGAUUCAUUCUCACAUUGGCUGACAAAAGUCUGUACACAUUGGCACACAAGUUGCCAUUAACAUGCAGUUUGUUUCCCUUAUUAGAUUACAAAAUAUUCUUUAUCGUGUGAUGAGAAGGUUUGUUUUAUUUCAUAUUAUGAGGUAAAAAGUGCUCGGAUCUAAAUGAUCAUCAUUAGUAUUGGAGUUAAUUAACGUUAAUUGUUACAUGAAUUAGGUGCUGUUGUUGAAGUCACUUGCAAGGCUGGUGACAAGAAAAUUGUGAGUUAUGGUACCACAAAGAUCAAUGGCAAAUUUAUCAUCACGGUUGAAGGAUUUGAAUAUCGCAAAUAUGGAGCAAAGGCUUGCAAGGCUAAACUCCACAAUGCUCCAAAGGAUUCAAAGUGUAGCAUUCCUACAAAUCUUCAUUGGGGAAUUAAGGGUGCUAACCUCAAAGUGAAAUCAAAGAAUAGUUAUGAAGUUGUACUUUAUGCAAAACCAUUUGCUUAUGGAUCUAAGACACCUUACGCAGAAUGCCAAAAGCCCAAGCCUACACCUGCUCCAUACUAUUAUAAAUCUCCUCCACCUCCAUCACCGACUUAUGUGUACAAGUCACCACCUCCUCCAUCACCAAAGUAUGUGUACAAGUCACCACCUCCCCCAACCCCGACAUAUGUUUAUAAGUCUCCACCACCACCUGCUUACUAUUACAAAUCACCGCCGCCACCAACUAAGUCUCCACCACCUCAUUAUUAUUACAAGUCUCCACCUCCACCAUCACCAAAACCUGCACCAGUAUACUAUUAUAAAUCACCACCACCCCCAUCACCGUCGCCACCCCCACCUUACUACUACAAGUCCCCGCCACCCCCAUCACCAAAACCUGCACCUGUUUACUAUUAUAAAUCACCACCACCCCCAUCACCGUCACCACCCCCACCUUACUACUACAAGUCCCCGCCACCCGCAUCACCAAAACCUGCACCUGUUUACUAUUAUAAAUCACCACCACCCCCAUCACCGUCACCACCCCCACCUUACUACUACAAGUCCCCACCACCACCAUCACCUUCUCCCCCACCUCCCUACUACUAUAAGUCUCCUCCACCACCAUCGCCAUCUCCUCCUCCACCAUACUAUUAUAAGUCCCCUCCUCCACCAACUCCAUCUCCACCCCCACCCUACUACUAUAAAUCUCCUCCACCACCAUCACCAUCUCCUCCACCUCCAUACUACUACAAGUCCCCUCCUCCUCCAUCGCCAUCUCCCCCUCCACCAUACUAUUACAAGUCACCACCGCCACCAUCGUCAUCACCUCCACCACCCUACUACUACAAGUCUCCUCCUCCUCCAUCACCUUCUCCCCCUUCACCAUACUACUACAAGUCACCACCACCUCCAUCGCCAUCUCCACCACCACCCUACUAUUACAAGUCCCCUCCUCCACCAUCCCCAUCACCACCUCCACCCUACUACUACAAGUCGCCUCCUCCACCGUCACCUUCUCCACCACCUCCCUACUACUAUCACUCUCCACCUCCACCAGUAAAGUCUCCUCCUCCUUAUUACUACACCUCACCACCUCCACCAGUGAAAUCACCUCCUCCACCCGUAUAUAUUUACGCUUCCCCACCUCCUCCAAUCCACUACUAAGAGUUUCCAGCAGUUCAGCCAUUCUCCGCACUCAAUCAAGUGAGUAGUUGUUUAAAUUGUAAUUUUUUUCAUAUGAGAUCAAUUUUUUUUCAUUACGACUCUAAUCUUCUAUUUGAUUGUUUCUUUUCAGAUUUUAGUUGGAAACACAAAAUAAAUGAUGGCUUCUUGAGGAAAAGAUUCAAACAUCAAUGGAACAAAGCAAUUAAUUUAUGGAAUAAGACAUUCAAUUUUUCAAUUGAAGGAUUGAUUCUAAGUUACAUGGACCAGUUUGGUUCUACUUCUCUUUUAGCCUUCUUGCACAUUGUUCUCUUAGUGCGUUCACACAUGAACGUGUCUAAGCUUUGAUGCUUCUUAGAGUUCAUUUCUUCGUAAUUUAUUGUUUUAUAUUGAGGACACUGUCCUCAUUUUAUUCAUUCCUAUUAAUUAUUGUAUGUUGUUCUUUUGUAAUACCUUCAUGUACUUUGUGCACAAAUCAAUAAAAAGAUCAAUUUCAUUACAUGCACUUUCAUUUCUUUCUUCUACAUCUUUCCCCUCUUCACAAAUGUUACAAACAAAUUAAAUUAUCUUCUCCAAAUAUAUCUAAGCAAAUUGAAGAUUUUCACCAUGCUUGUGAUCAGUUGGUACAAGAGUAUCACACUUAGGUUUCGAAUAUGUUGAGCAUGUCACAUAGCGCAUUUGGUAAUAGUUGGUACAAGAUUCAGAUAAUGCCCAUAGUAACGCACAUUUGCAUUUACCAGUAAUAAACUCUAUCAACAUCAGCGUUGUUUUAUACCAGCUAGCUUGAGUCCGCGUCAGAGAAUAUACAUAUCCUGUCUACUCUACAGAUCAACAGGAAAGGAAAGUAAAACAGGGAAAUAGAUAUUAAUUAAUUUGGCUAAAUAAGUCAAAGUUGCUGCAAUUAUUUGUAAAUGUAGGACACCACAUAAUUUAAUAUCAUAGAAUAUAUGCACUAGCCUUUUUCUAGAAAUUUCCAUGUCUUACGAGUUUUGUAAGGUGAUACAGAGAUAUGCUUAUCAGCCCACACCCUGGCAAUUGAAAACAAAAUGGUAAGAGAGUGGAAGUAUUAAAAAAUAGCACUUUCUUUCCUUUAAGCCAUUACAUGGCAUGUGUUUUUGUGUGCUUCAUAUGGUGUGUUCCCAUAUACAGCAAGUAACAAACUACUUAUUGAAAAGAAAAUGUAGAAAUAUACAAAGUGAUACAGAGAUGGACUUUAAUAAAUAAGAUGACAACUUGUAGAUCCAGCUGGUAAGAACUAUUAAUAUUCUUUUUGCACUUUGAUUAUCAAUUAGAGCAAUUGAAUUGGUCCUUUAGACAGCUCUUUACUAACAACUACUUCUAAAGGUGUGUUACUAUAAAUGCAUAGGCCAAUGAAUCCCCAAACCUGCCAAGGGUCGUCGACAUUUGCCACAAAUCUUAGUGGCAUUGGCCAUAUUGGCUGUUGCUAAUGUAGUGUCAGCAGACCCUUAUGUGUACUCUUCUCCACCACCUCCAACGUAUGAGUACAAGUCACCACCACCUCCUUCGCCUUCUCCACCGCCACCUUAUGUGUACAAAUCUCCACCUCUUCCAUCACCUUCUGCCCCACCACCAUAUGUGUAUAAGUCUCCACCUCCUCCGUCACCAUCUCCACCACCACCCUAUGUGUAUAAGUCUCCGCCACCUCCAUCGCCAUCUCCACCACCACCAUAUGUGUAUAAGUCUCCCCCACCUCCAUCGCCAUCUCCACCACCACCAUAUGUUUAUAAGUCACCACUUCCUCCUUCUCCAUCACCACCUCCACCAUAUGUGUAUAAGUCUCCACCGCCUCCAUCGCCAUCUCCACCACCACCGUAUGUGUAUAAGUCUCCACCUCCUCCGUCACCGUCUCCACCACCACCCUAUGUAUAUAAGUCUCCCCCACCACCAUCACCAUCUCCACCUCCACCAUAUUACUACAAGUCCCUUCCUCCACCAUCACCUUCACCACCACCUCCAUAUUACUACAAGUCACCACCUCCAAUGGAUGUUCUAACCAAUUUUCGCACACCUCGACUAAUUCCACCGGAUACCAGUUAGCUUUCACUAGCAACAUGUAUCAAAUAAUUUUGUCCAUCGAGACUAGAACAAAUGGCAAGAAUCACCUAGUGCUUUUUGUCUCUAAUGAAAUUUGAACCUAAGAUCUCAUGAUUUUGAAUCCACCAAGGCUUCUACAUAAUUUAAUAGUACAAAAAAUUGAUAGACAAAAACGACAUACCUAGUGAGCUCCAACAAGUAAGGUCUGAAGAGGGUAAAGUAUACGCAAACCUUACCAGUAGCUUGAGGAGGUAGAGAGAUUGUUUUCGAAAGACCCUCGACUUAAGUGUAGCAAAUUAAUGUUUAAAAUUUCUAAGUGGGCAAUAAGUAAUUUCUUAAGCCAUCACCAGAGAUGAGAAAACAAAUUUUCGUGUAGCUUUGCAAAAAAAAGAAAAAAAAAAUUACUUUGGCUUGAUAAAGGUAAAGGAAAAAAAAAAACACAAAAUUAGUCACUAUAUAGAAAAUUAGCAUUGUUUAAUUUCCUUUUUGGUAAUCCAAUUAUGAAAACAAAUUGUGAAAUCUUCCUAGGGUUCGACACUGAGCAUGGAGAAAACUCUGUUGGGAGCGCUACCCUCCGAAUGGGGUCCUACCCGGCGCGAAUCCGGAUUAGUCGGGCUCCAAUGCGAGUACCGGACACUGGAUGAAAAACCAAAAAAAAAAAAAGUGAAAUCUUAGUGAUUUUUUCUAUCUAAUGAAUCAAAAUCUGCUUUAAAGUCAUCUAUCUUAUACGUAUCUCCGAGUAUAUGAGUGUGUUCUUACUACGAAAAAGAAAUAAUAAAAUAUAUGAUUCUCGAAACUCUCACUCAUUCUCUCCUUUCUUUUGUCUAAACAAUUUCAUUGACUAUAUGUGGAACAACUCGACAUAAAUUCGACAUAAUCGACACCUCAGAAUUUGAUCACCUCAACUCCAUUAUAUUUGAAUCCAAUAACAUUUCAAACCUAUAAACUUCAAAUUCCGAAUCUGUUUGUUUCCAAAGUCAACCACACUACUAACAUAGGCCUGCUAAGAAAAAUAGAAAUAACAAAGAAACAGACAAGAAGACCAAAUAAUUCUAUGAUCUCAAUGUUCAUAAGAUGCUUCCAUGUGGCAACAGAAUAACAAAAAAACUAUGUCAAUAGAGUAAGUGGAAAUAUUCAAAACCCAUCGUCAGGCCCCUUAAAUACGCGUCAUCUUUCAAUUAGGCACCUCAAGUGAACAUUGGUUCAUUUUGGCAUCUCAAGCGGCCUUCAAGUGUGUCACUUCAACACGUUUUGCUGAAUCAGCAAAAUAAUAUUAGUGCGUGAGCUACACUCUCCGCUGAGCUGGAAAGUGACGAAUAAAAUGCGGACACGUGUUAUUUUUGUCCAAAUAAUUUAUAAAUAAUAAAUUUUAAAUAAAAAAUACCCAAAUAAUUUAUAAAUAAUUAAUUUAAAUAAAAAAUACCCCCUCCCCCUAACCUACCCACCCCACCAACCUUCUUCUUCAAACACCCCAUCCACCCCACCAAAUUUUUUUCAUCGAUCUUGCUUCGAUUUUUAAUUUUUCUUCACUGAUUUUACUUGAUUUUUAGAUUUUCUUCAUGAAUUUAACUUCAUUUUUUUCAGAUUUGCUUCAUCUAUUUUGCUUCAAUUUUUAGUUUUUUUAAUUGAUUUUGUUUGAUUUUAAUUUUUCUUCACGGAUUUAGCUUUAUUUUUUAAUUUCUUUCAUCAAUUUUGCUCCGAUUUUCAAAUUUUCUUCACUGAUUUUUCUUGGUUUUUAUGCUUCAAUUUUGAUUUUUUUUUAUUGAUUUUGUUUGAUUUCAAUUUUUCUUCACUGAUUUGGCUUUAUUUUUCUAUUUUUCUUCAUCGAUUUUGUUUGAUUUUUAGUUUUUCUUCAUUGAUGUUGCUUAUUUUUUAUUUUUAUUCAUCAAUUUUGCCCUUAAUGAUAAAAAAAAAGGUGCUUAUCAUUUAAUCAUCACAAACCUUUAAAUGCGUAGAUAAAUUUCUCUCAAUAAUUCUUACCGUUAAAUAAAUUAAGAUUGACAAAAAUAACGGAUAAAAAUGCGAAAGAAUUAUAAAUUAAUGGGCAUUGAGUUAAUAUAUUGUUUUUGGCAAGACGAACUCCUAAAUAUGUAUCUAAUUUUUAAAUCUCUCUCAAUAAUUUCUACCAUUAAAUAAGCUUAAGAUUGACAAAAAAGAUGGAUAAAAAUAAGGAAAAAGGUAUAAAUUAAUUAAAAUGAGUUAAUAUAUUGUUGGUGGGCCAAUUUGGGCGCCACAACAGCCAAAAACAGGCUUUCAUGCGCCUUUUCGGAGUGUUCCGCACGAGUUUUGCCAACCAGGCAAAAGGUGCCAAAAUGGCACACUUUAAGGCCACUUGAAGUGCCAAAAUGAACCAAUGUCCACUUGAGGUGCCUAAAUGAAAGAUCGCGUGUACUUGAGAUGCCUGGCGAUGAGUUUUCCCUAAAAAUUAUCAAUCAAUGUCUAUGCACAUUCAUAUGUUGUAUCUCAUUUUCUAUGUAGUAGGUAACAAACUACUAGUUGUUAUAAAGAUAAAAGUUGGAAAACUGGAAAUAUUCAAAGUGAUACAAAGAUGGACUUUUAAUAAACAAGAUGUAAAACUUGUAGAUCCAGCUGUUAAGAGUAGUUUAAUAUACUUUUUACACAUUGAUUGUUAAUUAGAGCUAUUGAAUUGGUCAUUUAGACAGCUCUUUACUAACAACUAGUGUGUUAAUAUAAAUAGAUAGGCCAAUGAACCCUCUAAAGGCAUCAGUUCUCAACUGAAAAACUAAACUUGUCUUCUUUUUUCUUCCCUUAACUAGCCACAUUUGGGAGGCUAGGUGGUGUAUUUUCCGGCAAAAUGAGGCUUCACGGUGGCGGCCCUGCCAAGGGUCGUCGAUAUUUGCCACAAAUUUUAGUGGCGUUGGCCAUAUUGGCUGUUGCUAAUGUAGUGUCAGCAGACCCUUAUGUGUACUCUUCUCCACCACCUCCAACGUAUGAGUACAAGUCACCACCACCUCCUUCGCCAUCUCCACCGCCACCUUAUGUGUACAAAUCUCCACCUCCUCCAUCACCUUCUCCCCCACCACCAUAUGUGUAUAAGUCUCCACCUCCUCCGUCACCAUCUCCACCACCACCCUAUGUGUAUAAGUCUCCGCCACCUCCAUCGCCAUCUCCACCACCACCAUAUGUGUAUAAGUCUCCAUCACCUCCAUCGCCAUCUCCACCACCACCAUAUGUGUAUAAGUCUCCCCCACCUCCAUCGCCAUCUCCACCUCCACCAUAUUACUACAAGUCUCCUCCCCCACCAUCACCUUCACCACCACCUCCAUAUUACUACAAGUCGCCACCUCCAUCUUCACCAUCACCUCCACCACCAUACUAUUACAAAUCUCCACCACCGCCCUCACCAUCACCACCCCCGCCAUACAAUUAUAAGUUUCCACCACCACCUUCUCCUUCACCUCCUCCACCAUACUACUACUCCUCGCCGCCGCCGCCGCCACCAAAGAAAUCACCUCCCCCACCAUAUCACUAUACUUCUCCACCACCACCUGUUAAGUCACCACCUCCUCCAUACUACUACAGCUCUCCACCACCACCAGUGAAGUCUCCCCCUCCACCAUACUACUACUCCUCGCCGCCGCCGCCGCCACCAAAGAAAUCACCUCCCCCACCAUAUCACUAUACUUCUCCACCACCACCUGUUAAGUCACCACCUCCUCCAUACUACUACAGCUCUCCACCACCAACAUCGCCAUCCCCUCCACCUCCAUACUACUACAAGUCCCCUCCUCCACCAUCUCCAUCACCACCUCCACCCUACUACUACAAGUCUCCUCCUCCUCCUUCGCCUUAUCCCCCUCCCCCAUACUAUUACAAGUCACCACCACCUCCAUCGCCAUCUCCUCCACCACCCUACUACUACAAGUCACCACCGCCACCAUCCCCAUCACCACCUCCACCCUACUACUACAAGUCUCCUCCUCCUCCUUCGCCUUAUCCCCCUCCCCCAUACUAUUACAAGUCACCACCACCUCCAUCGCCAUCUCCUCCACCACCCUACUACUACAAGUCCCCUCCUCCACCAUCUCCAUCACCACCUCCACCCUACUACUACAAGUCGCCUCCUCCACCGUCACCUUCUCCACCACCUCCCUACUAUUACCACUCUCCACCUCCACCAGUAAAGUCUCAUCCUCCUCCUUAUUACUACAGCUCACCACCACCACCAGUGAAAUCACCUCCUCCACCCGUAUAUAUUUACGCUUCCCCACCACCUCCAGUCCACUACUAAGAGUUUCCAGCAGUUCAGCCAUUCUCCACGCUCAAUCAAGUGAGUAGUUGUUUAAAUUAGUAAAAAAAAUUUCAUAUGAGAUCAACUUUUUUUAGCACGGCUCUAAUCUUCUAUCUGAUUGUUUCUUUUUAGAUUUUAGUUGGAAACACAAAAUAAAUGAUGGCUUCUUGAGGAAAAGAUUCAAACGUCAAUGGAACAAAGCAAUUAAUUUAUGGAAUAAGACAUUCAAUUUUUCAAUUGAAGGAUUGAUUCUUAGUUACAUGGACCAGUUUGGUUCUACUUCUCUUUUAGCCUUCUUGCACAUUGUUCUCUUAGUGCGUUCACACAUGAACGUAUCUAAGCUUUGAUGCUUCUUAGAAUUCAUUUCUUCGUAAUUUAUUGUUUUAUAUUGAGGACACUGUCCUCAUUUUAUUCAUUCCUAUUAAUUAUUGUAUGUUGUUCUUUUGUAAUUCCUUCAUGUACUUUGUGCACAAAUCAAUAAAAAGAUCAAUUUCAGUACAUUCACUCUCUUUUCUUUCUUCUAUAUCUUUCCCCUCACAAAUGUUACAAACAACUUAAAUUAAUCUUCUCCAAAUAUAUCUAAGCAAAUUGGAGAUGAAAAUACCUACAAUUAUUUUAAAAUAUUUAAUAGUUUAAUGUAGAAGUAGUUCAUGACAUGACUAUAAGUAAAACACCUAAAAAAGCACCUCUGUGUUACCAAAAUGAACUGGGUACCUCUUACCAAAAUUAUAAAGAUGACAAUACAAAAAUGGAAGAAAAGCCAGUUUCCUUUUCUUUUUUUUUUGGUUGCAACAGAAAUUCUAACUGUUGCCUCCACAUGCAGUUGAUCUCAUCAUUGAGCAUUCACACGAAUUUCUAAGAUUAUUACAAUGAAGAGAUCAAAAAGGCUAUAAUAUGAUGCUUUGAAUAGUAAGCAAAAAUGAAUGAAAAUAUCAAAAUACUUUUGAAUAACUUAUUUCAUGAACUGACGCUUCUGAAAUAAAUAAUAAAACAUUUCCGAAUAACGAAAAUUUGUGAAACUUAUUUUUAAAUUACAUAAAUACACUCGGUAUGUUGUUUACACUGGCCUCCCCAUACCACUUAUCGGAUUACACCGGGUAUGUUGUUCUUGCAGUUGUAAAUGCGGAUUUGGUGAAACAAUUCAAUGUCAAAAAAAAAAGAAAAAAGAACAACAUUUCUAGUUGGCAACAAAUAAUUUGAAGCAAUCAAUAUACAUAUUUGUAAUUUAUAAACCAUGUAUCCAUCAGACCAUCACAGUAAAAAAGGUUAUUUUAAGUUAUCAAGGUUCUUGCGACCAACUAGUGAUCCAAAAAGAAAAUAAAUCACCUAUUCACUAACAAAUUGAAGAUUUUCACCAUGCUUGUGAUCAGUUGGUACAAGAGUAUCAUACUUAGGUUUCGAAUAUGUUGAGCAUGUCACAUGGCGCAUUUGGUAAAAGUUGGUAAAAGAUUCAGACAAUGCCACAGUAACGCACCUUAGCAUUUACCAGUAAUAAACUCUAUCAACAUCAGCGUUGUUUUAUACCAGCUAGCUUGAGUCCGCGUCAGAGAAUACACAUAUCCUGUCUCCUCUACAACAGGAAAGUAAAACAGGGGAAGAGAUAUUAAUUAAUUUGGCUAAAUAAGUCAAAGUUGCUGCAAUUAUUUGUAAAUGUAGGACACCACAUAAUUUAAUAUCAUAGAAUAUAUGCACUAGCCUUUUUCUAGAAAUUUCCAUGUCUUACAAGUUUUGUAAGGUGAUACAGAGAUAUGCUUAUCAGCCCACACCCUGGCAAUUGAAAACAAAAUGGCAAGAGAGUGGAAGUAUUAAAAAAUAGCACUUUCUUUCCUUUAAGCCAUUACAUGGCAUGUGUUUUUGUGCGCUUCAUACGUUGUGUUCCCAUAUACAGCAAGAAACAGACUACUAGUUGUUAUAAAGAUAAAGUUGGAAAACUGGAAAUAUUCAAAGUGAUACAAAGGGAGACUUUUAAUAAAUAAGCUGUAAAACUUGUAGAUCCAGCUGUUAAGAGUUGUUUAAUUUACACUUUGAUUGUUAAUUAGAGCAAUUGAAUUGGUCAUUUAGACAGCUCUUUACUAACAACUAGUUUUCAAGGUGUGUUACUAUAAAUACAUAGGCCAAUGAAUCCUCUAAAGGCAUCACUUCUCAACUGAAAAAACUAAACUUGUCUUCUUUCUUCUUCCCUUGACUAGCCACAUUUGGGAGGCUAGGUGGCGUAUUUUCCGGAAAAAUGAGGCUUCACGGUGGCGGCCCUGCCAAGGGUCAUCGACAUUUGCCACAAAUCUUAGUGGCAUUGGCCAUAUUGGCUGUUGCUAAUGUAGUGUCAGCAGACCCUUAUGUGUACUCUUCUCCACCACCUCCAACGUAUAAGUCACCACCACCUCCUUCGCCUUCUCCACCGCCACCUUAUGUGCACAAAUCUCCACCUCCUCCAUCACCUUCUCCCCCGCCUCCAUAUGUUUAUAAGUCACCACCUCCUCCUUCUCCAUCUCCACCACCACCUUAUGUGUAUAAGUCUCCCCCACCACCAUCACCAUCUCCACCUCCACCAUAUUACUACAAGUCCCCUCCUCCACCAUCACCUUCACCACCACCACCAUAUUACUACAAGUCGCCACCUUCACCAUCAUCUCCACCACCAUACUAUUACAAAUCUCCACCCCCGCCCUCACCAUCACCACCCCCGCCAUACAAUUAUAAGUCUCCGCCACCACCUUCUCUUUCACCUCCUCCACUAUACUACUACAAAUCUCCACCACCUCCUUCACCAUCUCCUCCUCCACCUUAUUACUACAAGUCUCCACCUCCUCCAUCUCCAUCACCACCUCCACCUUACUACUACAAGUCUCCACCACCACCGGUUAAGUCACCUCCUCCCCCAUACUAUAACAGCUCUCCACCACCACCAGUGAAGUCUCCCCCUCCACCAUACUACUACUCCUCGCCACCACCACCAAAGAAAUCACCUCCCCCACCAUAUCACUAUACUUCUCCACCACCACCUGUUAAGUCACCGCCUCCUCCAUACUAUUACAGCUCCCCACCACCACCAAAGAAAUCACCUCCUCCGCCAUAUUACUACAGUUCCCCACCAUCACCAGUGAAGUCACCUCCAACUCCAUACUACUACAAGUCUCCACCACCACCACCAAAGAAAUCUACUCCCCCACCAUACUACUACACUUCACCACCACCACCAACUCAUUACUAUCCUCCACAUCAUCAAUUCGUGGUCAAAGUUGUCGGAAAAGUCUAUUGUUUUAGAUGCUACGACUGGAAGCACCUAGAAAUGUCUCAUGGCAAGAAACACCUGAAAGGUAUCACAAUAUAAUUUAUACAACACUCGCAUUCUUUAUUUUCCUUUAAAAUAUCAUCAAAAAUAUAUUUAACUAUAUAUUAUCUUUUUUGUUGCUUUGCUCCUUACGCUCUUAAAAGAAUUCAUAAAUGUGUAUCUUUAUUUGGAUCUUUGAUCCAUUUAUGUUUUUCCAAAUCUGAAGUAACAUUAAAAUUUAAAAAGUCAAGAAAUUUUUUAAGGCAAGGACCAUAUCUAUAAUUGUGACUAUAGAGUAAAACAUAUUGAAAAAGAAGGUAUUCUGUUCUUGCUUGCAAAUGAAGAAUUAAUAUCGAGUGUAAUUCAUUCUCACAUUGGCAGACAAAAGUCUGUACACAUUGGCACACAAGUUGCCAUUAACAUGCAGUUUAUUUCCCUUAUUAGAUUACAAAAUAUUUUUUAUAGUGUGAUGAGAAGGUUUGUUUUAUUUCAUAUUAUGAGGUGAAAAGUGCUCGGAUCUAAAUGAUCAUCAUUAGUAUUGGAGUUAAUUAAUGUUUUCUUUUAUGGAUUAGGUGCGGUUGUUGAAGUGACUUGCAAGGCUGGUGACAAGAAAAUUGUGAGUUAUGGUACCACUAAGAUCAAUGGAAAAUUUAGCGUCACAGUAGAAGGAUUUGAAUAUCGCAAAUAUGGAGCAAAGGCUUGCAAGGCUAAACUCCACAAUGCUCCAAAGGACUCAAAGUGCAACAUUCCUACAAACCUUCAUUGGGGAAUAAAGGGUGCUAACCUCAAAGUGAAAUCAAAGAAUAGUUAUGAAGUUGUACUUUAUGCAAAACCAUUUGCUUAUGGAUCUAAAACACCUUAUGCAGAAUGCCAAAAGCCCAAGCCUACACCUGCUCCAUACUAUUAUAAAUCUCCUCCACCUCCAUCACCGACUUAUGUGUACAAGUCACCACCUCCUCCAUCACCAAAGUAUGUGUAUAAUUCACCACCUCCCCCAACCCCGACAUAUGUUUAUAAGUCUCCACCACCACCUGCCUACUAUUACAAAUCACCACCACCACCAACUAAGUCUCCACCUCCACCAUCACCAAAACCUGCACCAGUAUACUAUUAUAAAUCACCACCACCCCCAUCACCGUCACCACCCCCACCUUACUACUACAAGUCCCCGCCACCACCAUCACCGAAACCUGCACCUGUUUACUAUUUUAAAUCACCACCACCCCCAUCACCGUCACCACCCCCACCUUACUACUACAAGUCCCCGCCACCACCAUCACCGAAACCUGCACCUGUUUACUAUUUUAAAUCACCACCACCCCCAUCACCGUCACCACCCCCACCUUACUACUACAGGUCCCCACCACCACUAUCACCAUCUCCUCCACCUCCAUACUACUACAAGUCCCCUCCUCCUCCAUCGCCAUCUCCCCCUCCACCAUACUAUUACAAGUCACCACCGCCACCAUCCCCAUCACCUCCACCACCCUACUAUUACAAGUCUCCUUCUCCUCCAUCGCCUUCUCCCCUUCCCCCAUACUACUACAAGUCCCCUCCUCCACCAUCCCCAUCACCACCUCCACCCUACUACUACAAGUCUCCUCCUCCUCCAUCGCCUUCUCCCCUUCCCCCAUACUACUACAAGUCCCCUCCUCCACCAUCCCCAUCACCACCUCCACCCUACUACUAUAAGUCGCCUCCUCCACCAUCACCUUCUCCACCACCUCCCUACUACUACCACUCUCCACCUCCACCAGUAAAGUCUCCUCCUCCUCCUUAUUACUACAGCUCACCACCACCACCAGUGAAAUCACCUCCUCCACCCGUAUAUAUUUAUGCUUCCCCACCUCCUCCAGUCCACUACUAAGAGUUUCCAGCAGUUCAGCCAUUCUCCGCGCUCAAUCAAGUGAGUAGUUGUUUAAAUUAGUAAAAAAAAUUUCAUAUGAGAUCAACUUUUUUUCAUUACAGCUCUAAUCUUCUAUUUGAUUGUUUCUUUUCAGAUUUUAGUUGGAAACACAAAUUAAAUGAUGGCUUCUUGAGGAAAAGAUUCAAACAUCAAUGGAACAAAGCAAUUAACUUAUGGAAUAAGACAUUCAAUUUUUCAAUUGAAGGAUUGAUUUUUAGUUACAUGGACCAGUUUGGUUCUACUUCUCUUUUAGCCUUCUUGCACAUUGUUCUCUUAGUGCGUUCACACAUGAACGUAUCUAAGCUUUGAUGCUUUUUAGAGUUCAUUUCUUCGUAAUUUAUUGUUUUAUAUUGAGGACCACUGUCCUCAUUUUAUUCAUUCCUAUUAAUUAUUGUAUGUUGUUCUUUUGUAAUACCUUCAUGUACUUUGUGCACAAAUCAAUAAAAAGAUCAAUUUCAUUACAUUCACUUUCUUUUCUUUCUUCUGCAUCUUUCCCCUCUUCACAAAUGUUACAAACAAAUUAAAUUAAUCUUCUCCAAAUAUAUCUAAGCAAAUUGGAGAUGAAAAUACCUACAAUUAUUUUAAGAUAUUUAAUAGUUUAAUGUAGAAGUAGUUCAUGACAUAACUAUAAGUAAAACACCUAAAAAACACCUCUGUGUUACCACAAUGAACUAGUUACUUCUUACCAAAAUGGAAGAAAAGCCAUUUUCCUUUUUCUUGUUUUAGUGUGGCAACAGAAAUUUUAACUGUUGCCUCCACAUGCAGUUGAUCUCAUCAUUGAGCAUUCACACGAAUUUCUAAAGAUUAUUAUAAUGAAGAGAUUAAGAAGGCUAUAAUAUGAUGCUUUGAAUAGUAACCAAAAAUGAAUGAAAAUAUCAAAAUACUUUUGAAUAACUUAUUUCAUGAACUGAUGCUUCUGAAAUAAAUAAUAAAACAUUUCAGAAUAAAGAAAAUUUGUCAAACUUAUUUUUCAAUAACAUAAAUACUCUUGGUAUGUUGUUUACACUGGCCUCCCAUACCACUUGUCAGAUUACACUUAGUAUGUUGUUCUUGUUGUUGUAAACUCGGAUUUGGUGAAACAAUUCAAUGUCAAAAAAAAAAAAACAUCAUUUCAGUUGGCAACAUAUAAUUUAAAGCAAUCAAUAUACAUAUUUGUAAUUUAUAAACCAUGUGUCCAUCAGACCAUCUCAGUAAAAAAGGUUUUUUUAAGUUAUCAAGGUUAUUGCGACCAACUAGUGAUCCAAAAGAAAAUAAAUCAUCUAUUCGCUAACAAAUUGAAGAUUUUCACCAUGCUUGAGAUCAGUUGGUACAAGAGUAUCACACUUAGGUUUCGAAUAUGUUGAGCAUUUCACAUAGCGCAUUUGGUAAUAGUUGGUACAAGAUUCAGGCAAUGCCACACCUUAGCAUUUACCAGUAAUAAACUCUAUCAAUGCCAGCGUUGUUUUAUACCAGCUAGCUUGAGUCCGCGUCAGAGAAUAUACAUAUCCUGUCUCCUCUACAGAUCAGCAGGAAAGUAAAACAGGGGAAAAGAUAUUAAUUAAUUUGGCUAAAUAAGUCAAAGUUGCUGCAAUUAUUUGUAAAUGCAGGACACCACAUGAUUUAAUAUCAUAGAAUAUAUGCACUAGCUUUUUUCUAGAAAUUUUCAAACUUAUAAGUUUUUAAAGGUGAUAUAGAGAUAUGCUUAUCAGCCCACACCCUGGCAAUUGAAAACAAAAUGGCAAGAGAGUGGAAGUAUUAAAGAAUAGCACUUUCUUUCCUUUAAGCCAUUACAUGGCAUGUGUUUUUGUGUGCUUCAUAUGGUGUGUUCCCAUAUACAGCAAGUAACAAACUACUUAUUGAAAAGAAAAUGUAGAAAUAUACAAAGUGAUACAGAGAUGGACUUUAAUAAAUAAGAUGACAACUUGUAGAUCCAGCUGGUAAGAACUAUUAAUAUUCUUUUUGCACUUUGAUUAUCAAUUAGAGCAAUUGAAUUGGUCCUUUAGACAGCUCUUUACUAACAACUACUUCUAAAGGUGUGUUACUAUAAAUGCAUAGGCCAAUGAAUCCCCAAAGUGCAUCAGUUCUCAACAGUAAAAACUAAAAGUUGUCUCUUUUACUCUUCAGUUAACUAGCCACAUUUGGAGGCUAGGUGGUAUAAUUAUCCGGCGAAAUGAGAAUUCAAGGUGGCGGCCCUGCCAAGGGUCGUCAAUAUUUGUCACAAAUUUUAGUGGCAUUGGCCAUUUUGGCUGUUGCUAAUAUAGUAUCGGCAGAUCCUUAUGUAUACUCUUCGCCUCCACCUCCACCGUAUGUGUACAAGUCACCACCACCUCCUUCUCCUUCUCCACCACCACCUUAUGUGUACAAAUCUCCACCUCCUCCAUCACCUUCUCCCCCGCCUCCAUAUGUUUAUAAGUCACCUCCUCCUCCUUCUCCACCUCCACCUCCACCAUAUGUGUAUAAGUCUCCACCGCCUCCAUCGCCAUCUCCACCUCCACCAUAUUACUACAAGUCCCCUCCUCCACCAUCACCUUCACCACCACCACCAUAUUACUACAAGUCUCCACCUCCACCUUCACCAUCACCUCCACCACCAUAUUAUUACAAAUCUCCACCACCGCCCUCACCAUCACCACCACCACCAUACUAUUAUAAGUCUCCACCGACACCUUCUCCUUCACCUCCUCCACCAUACUCCUAUAAAUCUCCACCACCUCCUUCACCAUCUCCUCCGCCACCUUAUUACUACAAGUCUCCACCUCCUCCAUCUCCAUCACCACCACCACCAUAUUAUUACAAGUCUCCUCCUCCACCAUCCCCAUCACUACCCCCACCUUACUUCUACAAGUCUCCACCUCCACCGGCUAAGUCACCUCCUCCCCCAUACUACUACAGUUCUCCACCACCAGCAGUGAAGUCUCCCCCUCCACCAUAUUACUACUACUCACCACCACCACCAAAGAAAUCACCUCCCCCACCAUAUCACUAUACUUCUCCACCACCACCUGUUAAGUCACCGCCUCCUCCAUACUAUUACAGCUCCC